This is a long non-coding RNA of Conger conger (European conger), 893 nucleotides long. RefSeq lists it as uncharacterized. The record is from RefSeq and is a predicted model, not a curated record. The transcript has 2 exons. NCBI's taxonomy places the organism in Eukaryota, Metazoa, Chordata, Actinopteri, Anguilliformes, Congridae.
GACUAGUUUGACUAUAGUACUCUCUAUAAUCACUGUACUCUCUGCCUACAAUACAGAUAGUCAUGGACAAAAAAUGGAUUUGGGUGCAAGAGAAAAAAUCGAAUCAAACGGGGGUUUAUGGCCCUAAUUGUCCUCCAGCAGGAAUACCGAACUAUUCUGCGCCUAUAGGAAAACAGCCGAGGGACUGAGGAUUUCAGGCCUGACGCGCAUACAUUAUAACAGGCGUAGAAAGAGGGCCUGCUCUCGUCACCGGGCCUGGCUGUGAGGCUGAACAAUAGCGCGCGUGUGCGCGCGGACGCAGAGAGGUGGGGAUGGAAUCCGAUUGUUCCGCCGCUCGGCAGAUAAUCCGGCGCGCACCGACUGCAGCUGCCCUGCCUUGAUCUCAUCAUCUCCCUGGCAGCCGCAGACAGGAUCGCUCCGGUCCCGCGCCCGCCCCGCGCCCGCCGGGCUGAUUGAAGCAGAGGUCUCUCCGGAACGGCGAACGCUCCUCCCCCUGUUUACAAGGCAGCCCUCUCUCCUUUAUUAUGCAUGCGGAAGCAGUUGGGUGGGAAUACAGGGCACCCCUGGAGAAGAUUCAAAUACGGCCCAACACGCUGCUCAAAGACUGUUUUGCCCUCGUUUUGUUCUGCAUAUUUAUGACCUUGGAAUAUGCUAAUGCAUUUUUUAAAUGUAUCAUAAAACCAUGCUCUAGCUGGAUUUACCUCAUUCCUCCUCUUUCCAUCAACAUCAGCAUGAUAAAAUAAAUAUAUCAGGAUUCCAAGGCCACAACACAGCUGGGAUCUGUUGAAUUUUCUGAAAUGCAAAACCCAUACAUGUAUUUGCUGUUUCAGUCUAAUGUUAUAAUCAUUGGAAUGGGGGGAAAACAAUAAAAGCUUUGCUGAGCUCAAAUGCAA